Molecule: ribosomal RNA, 492 nt
Filed under: uncultured bacterium
Lineage: Bacteria
Description: partial 16S ribosomal RNA
Rfam family: Bacterial small subunit ribosomal RNA
Source: RNAcentral
AGUGAACGCUGGCGGUAGGCCUAACACAUGCAAGUCGAACGGCAGCACAGUAAGAGCUUGCUCUUACGGGUGGCGAGUGGCGGACGGGUGAGGAAUACAUCGGAAUCUACUUUUUCGUGGGGGUUAACGUAGGGAAACUUACGCUAAUACCGCAUACGACCUACGGGUGAAAGCAGGGGAUCUUCGGACCUUGCGCGAUUGAAUGAGCCGAUGUCGGAUUAGCUAGUUGGCGGGGUAAAGGCCCACCAAGGCGACGAUCCGUAGCUGGUCUGAGAGGAUGAUCAGCCACACUGGAACUGAGACACGGUCCAGACUCCUACGGGAGGGAGCAGUGGGGAAUAUUGGACAAUGGGCGCAAGCCUGAUCCAGCCAUACCGCGUGGGUGAAGAAGGCCUUCGGGUUGUAAAGCCCUUUUGUUGGGAAAGAAAAGCAGCAGGUUAAUACCCCGCUGUUCUGACGGUACCCAAAGAAUAAGCACCGGCUAACUUCGUG